UAAUUUAAUUUUUGAACUUAACACAGUGUAUGUAAGUUGGGCCAAUUAGUCUCAAAAUCAAGCAUGUCAUCAAUUAAUUUAAUAGUUGAUUAGUACAAACAUCUAAGGUACAUUUCCUUAUCAAUUUCAUUGUAAAAAUUUUCAAUUUUCCUUUCAAUAUGUUUAAAAUAUUCAUGUUUCAACGUCAGCUGUCAACGUCAACGCAGAACAGAUAAAAGCAGAUUUGAAUAUCCGACCUUGUCAGUCAGCUGUUGUUACUAGGCCAAGGAUGGACGGGUGAUAUCGACACCCGGACCAUGAAAAAAUUUAUAUGUUUUUUUUGUGCAACGUGUAUGUGGCCGUUUCUUUCUGUUUUUUUUGCUGUUUGCUGUUGUACGGAGGACUAAGCUAGCAUUCAAAAUUUAAAAAUCAAAUGUACAUUCCUAAGAUGCACUUUUUUACACCUCUAUGUAGCGGUACUUUUUUAGUAUUUGACCAUUAGCUCCGAUGAUGACGUUUAUGUCGAAAGCGCUCAGCUAAGGAAAUAAAAUUAUUUACACACUUUGACAUACUACAUUUUCAUUUUCCCUUAUUCAUUCAAGUGUGUACAAACUUAUCAGUCUUUCAACUAUAUUUAUAAAUUGUAUUGGUAAUCAAAUUAUGUAAAUCAAAGCAUUACUACCUACAUUUUUCAAAUAGGUAUGUAGGUCCUAAUCUUUUAUUACAAUGCUGAAACGUUUAAAAUUACGUACCUGUUGCUUUUAAAAACUAUUUAAAAAGUCACUACAAUUAUAAACUUGCUUUUUGUGUCUGUCCUCACAACAAUAAAAACUAAUAUACUACAUACAAUUUGUUUACCCAUAACCAUUGACGUAUUAAUAAAAUAACCGACAUAUUGAACAAUUGUUGACAGGUCAUUGUAAUUACCCAAUCAGAGGACGUAUAACGUUCAAGCUGUGCCGGGCACCAAGAUUUUGAUGAUUUCGCGCACAUAUAAAUUUACUCCCAACGCGCCUAAAGAAGUAUAACUUCAAAAAUUGUAUCUCGCGCGUAAUUGACAUUCAAAAUCGCCGGUCGCUUCAAUCUUUGUUUCUGAGAGAACAGUUCAUUCUACACAAAAAUUUCAGCUACAUUUUUUUUCUUUGAAACAUUUUUUUCUACGGCGUACAGAUUCUUGGUACUUAAAUUGAUAUUUUCCCUGCCACCCCUAAGGGGGGGGGGUUAGGGGGAAAGCCAUGGAGUAAGAGUGGCGAACUUUUUUGCAUCUUUUUUGGAGUCCCAAAAUUGACAUUCUCAGCAAAAUUGAGCAUGCUCGUAUGAUUUUUACAGGUUCAGAUUUUCAUCUCUGACGAGUGGACUAUAACGAGUUUUAUCAUGAUCAACUUAAGUCAAUAAAUGCUUGAGCAGUAGUCUUUAAGAAUUACCUAUUAUAUCGAAGACAAUUAUUUAGGUAGAGAGUAGUGUUAGUGUGAAGUGAUAACGUAAACAAACACCAAAUUUUGAUACUUUGGAUUUUAUAAAUUUUCGGUGAUAGUUCGCACACCAAUUGUUAGCUUUACCGGAUAAUAUUACCAUUGUUAUAGAGGUUAAAUAAAAUUACAUUUGGUUUA
This 1589-nucleotide long non-coding RNA is filed under the name Diabrotica virgifera virgifera (western corn rootworm). RNAcentral describes it as "uncharacterized LOC126883116". Lineage: Eukaryota; Metazoa; Arthropoda; Insecta; Coleoptera; Chrysomelidae. The record is from RNAcentral.